UGGGGAAUUUUGGACAAUGGGCGAAAGCCUGAUCCAGCAAUGCCGCGUGUGUGAAGAAGGCCUUCGGGUUGUAAAGCACUUUUGUCCGGAAAGAAAUCCUUGGCUCUAAUACAGUCGGGGGAUGACGGUACCGGAAGAAUAAGCACCGGCUAACUACGUGCCAGCAGCCGCGGUAAUACGUAGGGUGCAAGCGUUAAUCGGAAUUACUGGGCGUAAAGCGUGCGCAGGCGGUUUGCUAAGACCGAUGUGAAAUCCCCGGGCUCAACCUGGGAACUGCAUUGGUGACUGGCAGGCUAGAGUAUGGCAGAGGGGGGUAGAAUUCCACGUGUAGCAGUGAAAUGCGUAGAGAUGUGGAGGAAUACCGAUGGCGAAGGCAGCCCCCUGGGCCAAUACUGACGCUCAUGCACGAAAGCGUGGGGACGCAAACAGGAUUAGAUACCCUGGUAGUCCACGCCCUAAACGAUGUCAACUAGUUGUUGGGGACUUCAUUUCCUUAGUAACGUAGCUAACGCGUGAAGUUGACCGCCUGGGGAGUACGGUCGCAA
RNAcentral lists this ribosomal RNA (545 nucleotides) under uncultured bacterium. RNAcentral's name for it is "partial 16S ribosomal RNA". It matches the Rfam family "Bacterial small subunit ribosomal RNA", at positions 355 to 891 of the family's 1533-position model. The record is from RNAcentral.